UUUACUGAAAAAAAGCUUAUUGCUAUAUUUGGAAUUUUCUUUCUUCUCGUUUCAUGAAGGCGUCAGGAUUGUGCCCUUCGCAUCAAAGAUUGAUGCACAUUCCUUUGCACCCAUCGUGAUGCGGAGGGAAGCGUGGGAUAAAGAUUCAGCCACAGCUGAACCUGCAACAGGCCUCAAACAGAGGUUCUGCAAAUUCCCGAAACAGAGUUUUUUUUCCUUUCUAUUGACAGCUCAAAAAACAAAGAACGUGAAGAAGGCCUAAGGUCUUUAACAAUGCCCUAUAUGGGCUACACAACCCUAACCCUUUUAACCCAAACGAAACAAAGCAACCCCACUUCAAUGGGAUUCAACCAAAAUUCAGAAAUAAAAAACAGACUCCUACUCCAACCGGGAUUCAACCAAAAUUCAGAAAUAAAAGUAAACCAAACCCGACCCAACUUAAAACCAAUUCUAAACCAACAAGGACUCCUAAUCCCGACUUAAUUCAAAACCAAAACAUGACUUAAUUCAGCAACAAAACAAGGACUCUUGACUGGACUCAAACAAAACAUAAUUUCAGAUUCAGAAGGACUCUUCCUUAGCAUCGGCAUCAUCCACAGCUGGGUUUCAACCACGAUCAAACUCCACGAGCAGCGNNN
RNAcentral lists this long non-coding RNA (638 nucleotides) under Phoenix dactylifera (date palm). Its description in RNAcentral is "long non-coding RNA (PDAC_LNC009732)". The record is from RNAcentral. Lineage: Eukaryota; Viridiplantae; Streptophyta; Magnoliopsida; Arecales; Arecaceae.